GACAGAGGCCACGAACGUUGUUCGGAAUCACUGGGCGUAAAGCGCACGUAGGCGGACUUGAAAGUCAGAGGUGAAAGCCCAGGGCUCAACCUUGGAGCUGCCUUUGAAACUUCUGGUCUUGAGGUCGAGAGAGGUGAGUGGAAUUCCGAGUGUAGAGGUGAAAUUCGUAGAUAUUCGGAGGAACACCAGUGGCGAAGGCGGCUCACUGGCUCGAUACUGACGCUGAGGUGCGAAAGCGUGGGGAGCAAACAGG
Molecule: ribosomal RNA, 253 nt
Filed under: uncultured bacterium
Lineage: Bacteria
Description: partial 16S ribosomal RNA
Rfam family: Bacterial small subunit ribosomal RNA
Source: RNAcentral